UGGCAGCAGGAUCAGUUGUCAGUGAUGGCUGCUGUUGAUCAAUGCUUUUGACGGAUUACAGUGUAUAUACUCCAUAAAUAACUCAGAUAUGUGUUGUAGAUAAUAAACUAAAAUGGGUAAGGACGCCGAUUUACUGGAAGCUGCUCGGAGUGGCAACUUUCAAGUGGUGGAGAAGAUAUUAAGCUCAAAAGCGAAGAUCAGGACCACUUGCAAGUUUACGUCGAGGUCCCGGAGCCAACGUUCAGGACACCACCGGGUACACGGCGCUCCACCAUGCUGCUCUCAAUGGCCACAAGGACGUGGUGUCGUUGCUGCUGGCUCACGAGGCGUCAUGUAACGUACAGGAUGGGAAGGGGUCGACGCCGCUACACCUGGCCGCCUGGGCUGGCCACACCGAGGUGGUCAAGGCGCUCCUCCACCAGGGCCCAUCCCUCGCCAACGUCAACCACCAGAACAAGGGGGGUGAGACCGCCCUGCACUGCGCGGCGCAGUAUGGUCACACUGAGGCGGCGCAGAUGUUACUAGCUCAAGGGGGCGACCCAACUGUACCCAACCUACAGGCGGAGACGGCCCUCGACCUGGCCGCGCAGUACGGCCGCCUGCACACAGUGGAGGUGUUAGUACGGGCGCAGCCAGACCUACUGCGCCCUUACACCGUAGCUGCGGCCUGCCGCAGUCUUCCCCCACC
Homarus americanus (American lobster) is the source of this 688-nucleotide long non-coding RNA. RefSeq lists it as uncharacterized. NCBI's taxonomy places the organism in Eukaryota, Metazoa, Arthropoda, Malacostraca, Decapoda, Nephropidae. The transcript is spliced from 4 exons. The record is from RefSeq and is a predicted model, not a curated record.